Drosophila melanogaster (fruit fly) is the source of this 138-nucleotide small nucleolar RNA. It matches the Rfam family "Small nucleolar RNA psi28S-1192". Rfam says of the family: psi28S-1192 is a member of the H/ACA class of snoRNA. Lineage: Eukaryota; Metazoa; Arthropoda; Insecta; Diptera; Drosophilidae. The record is from Rfam.
AAUAGGUCCAAUCUAAUUCUGCAUGGUGGUUUAAUUAUGUAGUCUCGCUUUUGGACCAGAUUAAUUUCCAUCCUUUAUUAUCCUUGUGCUUGUAAUAUUGCUUAGUUCAAUGCACAUGAGAAACGUAAAGGAACACUA